RNAcentral lists this ribosomal RNA (750 nucleotides) under uncultured cyanobacterium. RNAcentral's name for it is "bacterial SSU rRNA". It matches the Rfam family "Bacterial small subunit ribosomal RNA", at positions 97 to 879 of the family's 1533-position model. Lineage: Bacteria; Bacillati; Cyanobacteriota. The record is from RNAcentral.
GGCGGACGGGUGAGUAACGCGUGAGAAUCGGCCCUCAGGUUGGGGACAACCAUUGGAAACGAUGGCUAAUACCAAAUAAGCCGAUUGGUGAAAGAUUAAUCGCCUGGGGAAGAGCUCGCGUCUGAUUAGCUAGUUGGUGGGGUAAAGGCUUACCAAGGCAACGAUCAGUAACUGGUCUGAGAGGAUGGCCAGUCACACUGGGACUGAGACACGGCCCAGACUCCUACGGGAGGCAGCAGUGGGGAAUUUUCCGCAAUGGGCGAAAGCCUGACGGAGCAAUACCGCGUGGGGGAGGAAGGCUCUUGGGUCGUAAACCUCUUUUCUCAGGGAAGAACUAAAUGACGGUACCUGAGGAAUAAGCAUCGGCUAACUCCGUGCCAGCAGCCGCGGUAAUACGGAGGAUGCAAGCGUUAUCCGGAAUGAUUGGGCGUAAAGCGUCCGCAGGUGGCAGUGAAAGUCUGCUGUCAAAGGUCAGGGCUCAACCCUGAACAGGCAGUGGAAACUACACAGCUAGAGUGCGGUGGGGGCAGAGGGAAUUCCCAGUGUAGCGGUGAAAUGCGUAGAGAUUGGGAAGAACACCGGUGGCGAAAGCGCUCUGCUAGGCCGCAACUGACACUCAUGGACGAAAGCUAGGGGAGCGAAUGGGAUUAGAUACCCCAGUAGUCCUAGCCGUAAACGAUGGAUACUAGGCGUAGCUCGUAUCGACCCGAGCUGUGCCGUAGCUAACGCGUUAAGUAUCCCGCCUGGGGA